Long non-coding RNA from Pyrus x bretschneideri (Chinese white pear), 1004 nucleotides. RefSeq lists it as uncharacterized. The record is from RefSeq and is a predicted model, not a curated record. NCBI's taxonomy places the organism in Eukaryota, Viridiplantae, Streptophyta, Magnoliopsida, Rosales, Rosaceae. The transcript is spliced from 3 exons.
GACCAAAUGUGUGAUUUUUUUUGAGGCGUUUUGGCAUUGACCAAAUAUAUGAUUUGUUUUGUAGGUGCAAUUUUGUCUAAGAAAGAGAAGACGGAAAUUUGCAUCCACAAAGCCAAUCUUCAUUGCAGGAGUCCUCACUCUUUCUCUCUCUCAUCCUCACCACCCUCCUCUUAUCGGCCCCCACUUCCCCCUUUCUACAAAACCCCUCUCUUUCUCAAUUCACCCAUGAGCAAAUUGGAUAAUGGAGUGUUGGGAGGAUGGUAGAAUGGAGACCUUGCAAGUGGUGGCUACAAGGGCACCUCACUGACAAUUGCAUUCGUUUGCUGCAGCUCUGCCAUCAAAGAGUAAUGGAUUCAUUCGAGUGGAUUGCUAUGGGCGCCUUAAUCAGAUGAGAAGAGAUGUGAGCGAUUGAAGCAACUUUGCGAUUGCUUUUUAUAUUCCACUUUGCUAAGCCUGAAAAUUUAUUUAUGUCGAGUGCAGUUAUGUGAUGGUGUUGGUAUUGCCCGUCUUUUAAAUGCAACCAACUUGCAUUUAAAAGACGGGGCAAUGUUAGGACUGCUUAUUGGAACGAAUCUAGGUAAUCCAUAUUUUACAUAUCAUAUACCAGUGAAGUCUGGAAUAUAACCUUCAAGUUCUGAAAGGACCAUAAAUGUUGUGGAACCUUCCAAUACGGCACUCAAUUCCCUUUUUUUUUUUUUUUUUUUUUGAAUAAAAGGAUAAAAUUUCAUUACCGUAAUCAACCAUUUACAAAUAUGCUAAAUGGGUAUAUAUGCUCUAGUGAUCAAUUUUUUGAUCUGAAGAUAAUAAUAAGCACAAAUUACAAAUAAUUUUAAACUCCUAUAUGACCAUCACACAAAUCACACCACUACAACAAAAAAUUUCAAGAUUGAUAUAUCUCAUAGACAACCUGACAUACCAAGCACCGAAACCUCACCAAAACUAUCGCCAGACAGCAAGGCAUCCCAUGGAUUUGUGUGUGUUGUGCAAGUGUUGUUGUUUUAGGA